Perca fluviatilis (European perch) is the source of this 306-nucleotide long non-coding RNA. RefSeq lists it as uncharacterized. The record is from RefSeq and is a predicted model, not a curated record. Lineage: Eukaryota; Metazoa; Chordata; Actinopteri; Perciformes; Percidae. The transcript is spliced from 3 exons.
GAAAAAGAAAAAGAAGAAGAAGAAGAAGAAGAAGAAGAAGAAGAAGACGACAGGGGCCACUGUCAACAUCAGCUUUACCAUUAGUUUCAUCACUGGCCUCUGGAGGAAAUGGUGCUCUCCACUGCAGUCCCUCCGGUGGACACUUCCAUACUUCUGUUGUCUGUAAGGGUUUCUACAGAUAGUUCAAAGGAACUGUGCUGUAAGAAGUCAACUGCAGGCACUUUCCAGGUUAUUGACUGGUUCACUCUCUGUGUCCGAAGCAUCCCAUCCAUCUGUAUGCUCCCUUAAUUGCCUUGCAACCGGGAA